CGGAAGUUCCGCCUCGUUAUCCGCGCGUGCGCAGUUUCCUGCGGAAGCGGAAAGCGGACAGAGAAGGUCGCCGCACGGCCUUUGCUUGUUUUUUUUCCUAGAGUAACCCUAAGCGCCUGCCUUCGCCACGCCCAUCUUCAGGGUCCGGCUGGUUCUGCGGCAGUAAUAUCCCAAUACCCCGAACUCCGCCCUAAAUAAACCCAGAGGCCGCCGUUUAGGUCAAGUAUUCGAAAUCGCUGUGAGGCUUGUCCUUGCCGUUUGGUUUUCGCCUUUGGCCCCGGAGACGCCGCCUUCCGGGAUAUUUUCAUGCUUAAAACUUAACCGUUAGUACCUGCGCCUGUGCCUUGUCAAGUCCCCGGGCGCGAGGGGGAUUCGGGCACGCCCACCUCCACCGCCUCACCCUGUCGACCCCUGGAGGUCGCGUCGACAGUUCCACUCCCGGAGAAGCCGAUUCCUCUCCCCGGUCCUGGGAUUCCGGAGAGCCCGCCCGACCCCUGAGACCCCCUCGCUUCCAGCCUCUCUGCCCUCGCGUCUCCUCAGGCCGAUCGUUCUGCCCCGCAGGCCUCCCUUCCUGACUGCUGCUGCUGCUGCUGCUGCUAAGUCGCUUCAGUCGUGUCGGACUCUGUGCGACCCCAUAGACGGCAGCCCAUCAGGCUCCCCCGUCCCUGGGAUUCUCCAGGCAAGAACACUGGAGUGGGUUGCCAUUUCCUUCUCCAAUGCAUGAAAGUGAAAAGUGAAAGUGAAGUCACUCAGUCGUGUCUGACUCUUCGAGACCCCAUGGACUGCAGCCCACCAGGCUAUGCCGUCCAUGGGAUUUUCCAGGCAAGAGUACUAGAGUGGGGUGCCAUCACCUUCUCCGAACAGACUGCUAGUGGGUAUAUAACAUCCACCUGAAGACUAGCAGGGGGGUACUCUUUCUGUCCCCUUCUGAUGCCUAUGUCAGAGGCUUUCUCUAUCUCCUUUAUACUUUAAUAAAACCUUAUUACACAAA
Molecule: long non-coding RNA, 991 nt
Organism: Bos taurus (domestic cattle)
Lineage: Eukaryota; Metazoa; Chordata; Mammalia; Artiodactyla; Bovidae
Source: Ensembl